CCAAUACAUCAAGAGAGAGAUUAAGUUCUCCUCCAACCUGCCAACUCCGGCAAGGUGGAAAAAAAUGAUGUGGUUAACCAACAAACAUUGGAGUACAA
RNAcentral lists this non-coding RNA (98 nucleotides) under unclassified sequences. Its description in RNAcentral is "SAM-I-IV sequence". It matches the Rfam family "SAM-I/IV (S-adenosyl methionine) riboswitch aptamer". From Rfam's summary of the family: It is found upstream of a number of genes which code for proteins involved in methionine or cysteine biosynthesis. It has been found mostly in the order Actinomycetales. The record is from Rfam by way of RNAcentral.